This 253-nucleotide unclassified non-coding RNA is filed under the name uncultured Flavobacteriaceae bacterium. Its description in RNAcentral is "contains 16S-23S intergenic spacer region". It matches the Rfam family "Bacterial small subunit ribosomal RNA", at positions 524 to 776 of the family's 1533-position model. Lineage: Bacteria; Pseudomonadati; Bacteroidota; Flavobacteriia; Flavobacteriales; Flavobacteriaceae. The record is from RNAcentral.
UACGGAGGGUCCGAGCGUUAUCCGGAAUCAUUGGGUUUAAAGGGUCCGUAGGCGGGUUUGUAAGUCAGUGGUGAAAGUCUGCAGCUCAACUGUAGAACUGCCAUUGAAACUGCAUACCUUGAGUAAUUAUGAAGUGGUUAGAAUAUGUAGUGUAGCGGUGAAAUGCAUAGAUAUUACAUAGAGUACCGAUUGCGAAGGCAGAUCACUAAUAAUACACUGACGCUGAUGGACGAAAGCGUAGGUAGCGAACAGG